Labrus mixtus (cuckoo wrasse) is the source of this 1205-nucleotide long non-coding RNA. RefSeq lists it as uncharacterized. NCBI's taxonomy places the organism in Eukaryota, Metazoa, Chordata, Actinopteri, Labriformes, Labridae. The transcript has 3 exons. The record is from RefSeq and is a predicted model, not a curated record.
GAGAGGGAGGGAGAAGCGGGCUAAAAAGAAGCUGGAAGGUAUUAUGCACUCUUUUCCCUUUGCUUCCUAGAAACUCCCGCUUGUUCCCUCCCACUCGGCCGGCACAGUUCAGACGACGCAGCAAAGGAAACGUUGAAAACUUGAACCUGCUAUUCUCCAGCUGCCUCGGCCUUCUAAGUAGAUCACUUGUUUUCUUUCCUGCUGUUCAGCCUCUAUGUCUCUCUCUCGCUCUCUCCCUCCCAGUUUCUCCUUUCCUCUCCCUGUUUCUCUCUCUCUCUCUCUACCUCUCUCUCUUUUUCUCUGGGCUGUGUGUAAGAGGAUCACUUUGUUUCCGUUGCCUUUUUUUCCGCGCUGCUGCAGACACAUGGAGGAGGAGAGGACUGGAUUUGGGGGAGAUACUGACGGGGGUGCACAGCUGCAACAGUCCCCUCCAUCUCCACACUAGGACUAAUGCCCCUCAUCUGUCUCUCUCUCUCUCUCUCUCUCUCUGUCUUUCCCUCCCUGUGUGUUUGGCUCUCCCUCUGUCGCACUCUCUCUGCCUCUCGAUGGGGUGGGGGGUGCCAUAUGGGAGCUCAGAAAAAUGGAAGUGGAUCGGAGAUAGACAUGAGAGGAAUCUGUCAUUCUCGAGCUCGGAUAUCAGAAUCUUUUGGGUGAGCGAGCUUAAAGCUGACCCGAGCAGCAAACCCCCCCGAAGCGAGACACUUCCCAUGGAGGGAGCCCUGGCAAUGCUCUUUCUUUCUCCGUGCUCAAAGGUAAGACCAAUCCUGACUCCCGUAAACCUCUCUUACUUAAUUUUGUUUCUGUUAAUCUGUCUGGAGGAUUGUGUUUGUUUGUUUGUCUGCCUUGUUUUGCCUGCACUCUUGCAGCAGCAGUGUGAGUCAGUAAAAGUGUCAGCCGGCCGUAACAGACGGCCUGCGCGACGUAAUUAGCCCGGAGUCAUUUGGAAGCGGCUCAGCUCGGCCCAGGUGCCCACUGUGCACAGAAAGAGACCAGACGACCUUUUACUCAGCUCCGUCCCACUGCAGUCACUUAAAACAGUGAUGGAUGUUUCCCUUAACACCACGCUCUCUACCCGCUGCCUCCAUUCUCCUCCCACUCUCUCUCAUCUCAACAUUUUACCCCCCUCUCCUCCUCUCAGCUCCGACGCUGCUCUCGCCUUAUUUGUCCUCCUCUCCUCUCCCUCUCCUCUCCUCUCCUCUCCUCUC